This 1400-nucleotide ribosomal RNA is filed under the name Microbacterium arborescens. RNAcentral's name for it is "bacterial SSU rRNA". It matches the Rfam family "Bacterial small subunit ribosomal RNA". The record is from RNAcentral. Lineage: Bacteria; Bacillati; Actinomycetota; Actinomycetes; Micrococcales; Microbacteriaceae.
UACCAUGCAGUCGACGGUGAAGCAGAGCUUGCUCUGUGGAUCAGUGGCGAACGGGUGAGUAACACGUGAGCAAUCUGCCCCUGACUCUGGGAUAAGCGCUGGAAACGGCGUCUAAUACCGGAUACGAGCUGCGACCGCAUGGUCAGUAGCUGGAAAGAAUUUCGGUCAGGGAUGAGCUCGCGGCCUAUCAGCUUGUUGGUGAGGUAAUGGCUCACCAAGGCGUCGACGGGUAGCCGGCCUGAGAGGGUGACCGGCCACACUGGGACUGAGACACGGCCCAGACUCCUACGGGAGGCAGCAGUGGGGAAUAUUGCACAAUGGGCGAAAGCCUGAUGCAGCAACGCCGCGUGAGGGAUGACGGCCUUCGGGUUGUAAACCUCUUUUAGCAGGGAAGAAGCGAAAGUGACGGUACCUGCAGAAAAAGCGCCGGCUAACUACGUGCCAGCAGCCGCGGUAAUACGUAGGGCGCAAGCGUUAUCCGGAAUUAUUGGGCGUAAAGAGCUCGUAGGCGGUCUGUCGCGUCUGCUGUGAAAACCCGAGGCUCAACCUCGGGCCUGCAGUGGGUACGGGCAGACUAGAGUGCGGUAGGGGAGAUUGGAAUUCCUGGUGUAGCGGUGGAAUGCGCAGAUAUCAGGAGGAACACCGAUGGCGAAGGCAGAUCUCUGGGCCGUAACUGACGCUGAGGAGCGAAAGGGUGGGGAGCAAACAGGCUUAGAUACCCUGGUAGUCCACCCCGUAAACGUUGGGAACUAGUUGUGGGGUCCAUUCCACGGAUUCCGUGACGCAGCUAACGCAUUAAGUUCCCCGCCUGGGGAGUACGGCCGCAAGGCUAAAACUCAAAGGAAUUGACGGGGACCCGCACAAGCGGCGGAGCAUGCGGAUUAAUUCGAUGCAACGCGAAGAACCUUACCAAGGCUUGACAUAUAGAGGAAACGUCUGGAAACAGUCGCCCCGCAAGGUCUCUAUACAGGUGGUGCAUGGUUGUCGUCAGCUCGUGUCGUGAGAUGUUGGGUUAAGUCCCGCAACGAGCGCAACCCUCGUUCUAUGUUGCCAGCACGUAAUGGUGGGAACUCAUGGGAUACUGCCGGGGUCAACUCGGAGGAAGGUGGGGAUGACGUCAAAUCAUCAUGCCCCUUAUGUCUUGGGCUUCACGCAUGCUACAAUGGCCGGUACAAAGGGCUGCAAUACCGUGAGGUGGAGCGAAUCCCAAAAAGCCGGUCCCAGUUCGGAUUGAGGUCUGCAACUCGACCUCAUGAAGUCGGAGUCGCUAGUAAUCGCAGAUCAGCAACGCUGCGGUGAAUACGUUCCCGGGUCUUGUACACACCGCCCGUCAAGUCAUGAAAGUCGGUAACACCUGAAGCCGGUGGCCCAACCCUUGUGGAGGAGCCGUCGAAGGUGGG